RNAcentral lists this ribosomal RNA (439 nucleotides) under Arthrobacter pascens. Its description in RNAcentral is "bacterial SSU rRNA". It matches the Rfam family "Bacterial small subunit ribosomal RNA", at positions 79 to 535 of the family's 1533-position model. Lineage: Bacteria; Bacillati; Actinomycetota; Actinomycetes; Micrococcales; Micrococcaceae. The record is from RNAcentral.
CUUGAUGGGGGGAUUAGUGGCGACGGGUGAGUACACGUGAGUACCUGCCCUUACUCUGGGAUAAGCCUGGGAAACUGGGUCUAAUACCGGAUAUGACUCCUCAUCGCAUGGUGGGGGGUGGAAAGCUUUUUGUGGUUUUGGAUGGACUCGCGGCCUAUCAGCUUGUUGGUGAGGUAAUGGCUUACCAAGGCGACGACGGGUAGCCGGCCUGAGAGGGUGACCGGCCACACUGGGACUGAGACACGGCCCAUACUCCUACGGGAGGCAGCAGUGGGGAAUAUUGCACAAUGGGCGCAAGCCUGAUGCANCGACGCCNCGUGAGGGAUGACGGCCUUCGGGUUGUAAACCUCUUUCAGUANGGAAGAAGCGAAAGUGACGGUACCUGCAGAAGAAGCGCCGGCUAACUACGUGCCAGCAGCCGCGGUAAUACGUAGGGCGC